GACGAACGCUGGCGGCGUGCUUAACACAUGCAAGUCGAACGGUAAGGCCCUUUCGGGGGUACACGCGUGGCGAACGGGCGGGUAACACGCGCGUAACCUGCCCACAACUUUGGGAUAACGACAGCAAACUGGUGCUGAUAAUGGCGAUGUGCCGCUGCUGCAUGGUGGGGGUGGGAGGGCUGCGGCGGUUGUGGGGGGACGCGCGGCCUCUUAGCUUGUUGGUGGGGUAGUGGCCUACCAAGGCGGCGGCGGGUAGCCGGCCUGGGGGGGUGGCCGGCCCCCUUUGGGCCUGGGUUCGGCCCAGACCCCUUCGGGGGGCAGCAGGGGGGAAUAUUGCCAAAUGGGCGCGAGCCUGAUGCAGCAACGCCGCGUGCGGGAUUACGGCCUUCGGGUUGUAAACCGCUUUCAGCAGGGACGAAGCUUUUUGUGACGGUACCUGCAGAAGAAGCACCGGCUAACUACGUG
This 465-nucleotide ribosomal RNA is filed under the name uncultured bacterium. RNAcentral's name for it is "partial 16S ribosomal RNA". It matches the Rfam family "Bacterial small subunit ribosomal RNA", at positions 28 to 507 of the family's 1533-position model. The record is from RNAcentral.